UGGGGAAUAUUGGACAAUGGGGGCAACCCUGAUCCAGCAAUGCCGCGUGAGUGAUGAAGGCCUUAGGGUUGUAAAGCUCUUUUGGCGGGGACGAUGAUGACGGUACCCGCAGAAUAAGCCCCGGCUAACUUCGUGCCAGCAGCCGCGGUAAUACGAAGGGGGCGAGCGUUGUUCGGAAUUACUGGGCGUAAAGGGCGCGUAGGCGGCCGAUCAAGUCAGAUGUGAAAGUCCUGGGCUUAACCUGGGGACUGCAUUUGAUACUGAUUGGCUUGAAUGCAGGAGAGGAUAGCGGAAUUCCCAGUGUAGAGGUGAAAUUCGUAGAUAUUGGGAAGAACACCGGUGGCGAAGGCGGCUAUCUGGACUGUGAUUGACGCUGAGGCGCGAAAGCGUGGGGAGCAAACA
This 402-nucleotide ribosomal RNA is filed under the name uncultured bacterium. RNAcentral's name for it is "bacterial SSU rRNA". It matches the Rfam family "Bacterial small subunit ribosomal RNA", at positions 355 to 774 of the family's 1533-position model. RNAcentral also lists the same sequence under 1 other name. The record is from RNAcentral.